Molecule: unclassified non-coding RNA, 337 nt
Filed under: soil metagenome
Description: partial contains 5.8S ribosomal RNA, internal transcribed spacer 2, and large subunit ribosomal RNA
Rfam family: 5.8S ribosomal RNA (bases 1-120)
Source: RNAcentral
GAUGAAGAACGCAGUGAAAUGCGAUAAGUAGUGUGAAUUGCAGAAUUCAGUGAAUCAUCGAAUCUUUGAACGCACAUUGCGCCCCUUGGUAUUCCAUGGGGCAUGCCUGUUCGAGCGUCAUUUGUACCUUCAAGCUCUGCUUGGUGUUGGGUGUUUGUCUCGCCUCUGCGUGUAGACUCGCCUCGAAACAAUUGGCAGCCGGCGUAUUGAUUUCGGAGCGCAGUACAUCUCGCGCUUUGCACUCAUAACGACGACGUCCAAAAGUACAUUUUUACACUCUUGACCUCGGAUCAGGUAGGGAUACCCGCUGAACUUAAGCAUAUCAAUAAGCGGAGGA